GUGCGGUUGAUGAAACUGGUAAACAUAAUGAUUUUCCAAAUCAUCGUCCACCCGGACUUAGGGGUUCAAAUCCCCUACCGCACA
This 84-nucleotide transfer RNA is filed under the name Candidatus Magasanikiibacteriota bacterium. Its description in RNAcentral is "Candidatus Magasanikbacteria bacterium tRNA-Gly". It matches the Rfam family "tRNA". From Rfam's summary of the family: Transfer RNA (tRNA) molecules are approximately 80 nucleotides in length. Lineage: Bacteria; Candidatus Magasanikiibacteriota. The record is from RNAcentral.